RNAcentral lists this ribosomal RNA (259 nucleotides) under uncultured bacterium. RNAcentral describes it as "partial 16S ribosomal RNA". It matches the Rfam family "Bacterial small subunit ribosomal RNA", at positions 333 to 584 of the family's 1533-position model. The record is from RNAcentral.
GAUGCCCUACGGGGCGCAGCAGUAGGGAAUCUUCCACAAUGGGCGAAAGCCUGAUGGAGCAACGCCGCGUGGGUGAAGAAGGUCUUCGGAUCGUAAACCCCUGUUGUUAGAGAAGAAAGUGCGUGAGAGUAACUGUUCACGUUUCGACGGUAUCUAACCAGAAAGCCACGGCUUACUACGUGCCAUCAGCCGCGGUAAUACGUAUGUGGCAAGCGUUAUCCGGAUUUAUUGAGCGUACAGGGAACGCAGGCGGUCUUUU